CCUACGGGGGGCUGCAGUCGAGAAUCUUCCGCAAUGGACGAAAGUCUGACGGAGCGACGCCGCGUGAUCGAUGAAGUGCUUCGGUAUGUAAAGAUCUUUUAUGAGGGAAGAAGUUUAUUGACGGUACCUCAUGAAUAAGGACCUGCAAAACUCGUGCCAGCAGCAGCGGUAAUACGAGUGGUCCAAGCGUUAUCCGGAAUUAUUGGGCGUAAAGGGUGUGUAGGUGGUUUAGUUAGUCUUUUGUUUAACCCCGGAGCUCAACUUCGGAUCGGCAA
Molecule: ribosomal RNA, 275 nt
Filed under: uncultured bacterium
Lineage: Bacteria
Description: partial 16S ribosomal RNA
Rfam family: Bacterial small subunit ribosomal RNA
Source: RNAcentral